UGGAAUCGCUCAGUCGGUAGAGCAUGAGACUCUUGCCCUCAGGGUUGUGGGUUCGAGCCUCACAUUGGAAAAA
Podarcis lilfordi (Lilford's wall lizard) is the source of this 73-nucleotide non-coding RNA. The record is from the annotation of a GenBank genome assembly. NCBI's taxonomy places the organism in Eukaryota, Metazoa, Chordata, Lepidosauria, Squamata, Lacertidae.